RNAcentral lists this ribosomal RNA (392 nucleotides) under uncultured bacterium. Its description in RNAcentral is "partial 16S ribosomal RNA". It matches the Rfam family "Bacterial small subunit ribosomal RNA", at positions 523 to 918 of the family's 1533-position model. The record is from RNAcentral.
AUACGGAGGAUGCGAGCGUUAUCCGGAUUUAUUGGGUUUAAAGGGAGCGUAGGCGGGAGCUUAAGUCAGCGGUUAAAUGGUGCGGCUCAACCGUGACCUGCCGUUGAAACUGGGUUUUUUGAGAGUGCAAGAGGCGGAUGGAAUAUAUGGGGUAGCUGUGAAAUGCUUAGAUAUCAUGAAGAACUCCGAUUGCGAAGGCAGUCCGCUGGGGCACGUCUGACGCUGAUGCUCGAAGGUGCGGGAAUCAAACAGGAUUAGAUACCCUGGUAGUCCACGCAGUAAACGAUGAUGGCUAACCGCUGGGCUUAUCAGUUCAGUGGCCAAGCGAAAGCGAUAAGCCAUCCACCUGGGGAGUACGACCGCAAGGUUGAAACUCAAAUGAAUUGACGGGG